RNAcentral lists this ribosomal RNA (468 nucleotides) under uncultured bacterium. RNAcentral describes it as "partial 16S ribosomal RNA". It matches the Rfam family "Bacterial small subunit ribosomal RNA", at positions 28 to 507 of the family's 1533-position model. The record is from RNAcentral.
GACGAACGCUGGCGGCGUGCUUAACACAUGCAAGUCGAACGGAAAGGCCCUGCUUUUGUGGGGUGCUCGAGUGGCGAACGGGUGAGUAACACGUGAGUAACCUGCCCUUGACUUUGGGAUAACUUCAGGAAACUGGGGCUAAUACCGGAUAGGAGCUCCUGCUGCAUGGUGGGGGUUGGAAAGUUUCGGCGGUUGGGGAUGGACUCGCGGCUUAUCAGCUUGUUGGUGGGGUAGUGGCUUACCAAGGCUUGGACGGGUAGCCGGCCUGGGAGGGUGACCGGCCACAUUGGGACUGAGAUACGGCCGAGACUCCUACGGGAGGCAGCAGUGGGGAAUAUUGAACAAUGGGCGGAAGCCUGAUGCAGAAACGCCGCGUGCGGGAUGACGGCCUUCGGGUUGUAAACCGCUUUCGCCUGUGACGAAGCGUGAGUGACGGUAAUGGGUAAAGAAGCACCGGCUAACUACGUG